UUGGCAACACCGAAUGAAGUGUCAAAAAUUCGCUAGCGACGGGAGGUCGCGUAAUUUCAUUUUCAGUAAAGAAAACAUGAAAAUAAAAUAAAAGUAGCUGGUGAAUUUGUGUUUCGUGCAUUUAUAAACUUUAAUUUAUAAGAGUGAAAUGGUAUGAAUUUGAGAAACUUGUCUAGGAAACACGAAAUAUAUCAAAAUGGCCAAAGAAAUGAUGAUAGUGUUUGUGUACGACACACAGUGUUGUACAGCUGAGGAGGACGAUCCUGUGGAUGCAGUGCUGUAUUUCCACCCGGGAUGGGUCUCGGACACACAGAGGCACGCUUUGGCAGGACAGGUGGUGGGUACAGCACACUGCGUCAAGUCUCUGUUCUCCCAACCUGUGGCCAUCACGCUGCAGAGCGGCAAGUUCAUCAUCAGGGAAUACGGGCGGUACAUAUUGGCCAUAGGCAGCGACCGCAACAUCCCCGACUGGGUACUAAAAAACCGGGCGAACCUCCUCACAUCCAUGAUCAAGGUCUACCAUGGAGACCUUCUAGCCCUUGCCUCCCAGAUGGAAGACCAGAAACGCCUGGCCGAGAAGCUGUAUCAGGUCUUCGAGACGUACUUGCCAGUACUGCAGUAUGGAUGUCAUAUCUUCCAGAGAGUGCCAAUGCUCAGUCUUCCUAAGAGUGCCACAUCGAUCUACAUGGAAGCCAUGCAGAUACUGGAACACUGCCGCAAAAGUAAAGGAGUCCUUGGAGGCGUUGUAUUGUACAAUAAUAAAAUAAUCGCCACGCAACUGCCUCCAAGCCUGACUUCAUACCUCACAGUGGUGGACCCGUACCGAAUAAAGUCUCCAGCAGAGACCGUUCAAACUGAGACGCCCUUGCCUCUAGGUGCUCAGCUAUUGGUGGUUUAUGUCGCGAAGAAGACGUACGAUAGCUUGAAGAAGCAGGUGGAAAAGAUACAGGAGUUCCACCACAGUGGGGAGGAGAUGAUGGCAAAGUUUAGAAAGAAUCAAGAGGCCGAACGCGAAAAAGUAAGAGAGUUCCCCCAAACAGGCAUGAAAAGAGACAAGUCUUUGCUUUUCACUGCCGUGCCCGAAGAAGACCACACCAUGAUAUCCCCUCCUAACAAAGACGAACACCCCAUGACUGACUCCGAAAGAAAACCGAGCAUGCCCGACGUCGUUCCCUUCACGAAUAAACCGCGACCACGACCGACCAAGCUCUCACUAAGCUUCAAAAACCAAAAAUCAUUAGACGAAGACGCAAAAGAAAACGACACCGUCUUCACAGGACAAACCAGCGUUUGCUCCACACCCAUGGUAGAAUACAAACGACUCCACGGAAACAUCCUUUCCAUCUGCCAAAACCCAGACACGCAACAAGAAAAGCCCCCAGAACCAGACGUGCUCAAAAACAUCGAAAACUGUGCCAAAAUGAUCGAAAACGAGAAACGAGACAACCAAAUCGUUCUUGACAUGAACUGCAUUGCGGAUCACUACAUAAAUAAACCAGACCCGAUCAGGAAACUCGCGAGUGUUACGGAUAUCCAAGAUACGUUUAAAAGAAUUUCCAACAGAGCGACAUCCAGGUUUAAAUUAAAACGAUCGAAAGUGCCUCUCAACGAUGAUAUGACGCCGUCCCCAGACGAGGAUGGAAUAAUGAAAAGCCGUCGGUCUUCGUUGACAAUCAACGAUCCCUUCUUCCCAGUAUUCAGAAAUGACGGCGUUGCCAUCUCAGAAUCUUUAUUCAACCAGUAUCUAGAACAAUACUACGCCAGAAUGAAGCAAGAAUCCAAAGAAGACAACAUGUUCACUUUCAACAUGAAAUUAUGUGAGCAGGAGAAGUUCGAAGACUUCGAUUCGGAGCUGAAUAGGUCUCCGCAAAGAACGCCAAAGAAGAUUCCCAAAGAUUCGACGAAAACGUUAUCAACGGAUCAGUCCAGGCGAAAAUCGCUUUCGCUGCCUCUGAAAUCGUUAUCGGAAAGUACAGAUUCGCAGAUUGGGUCGGAAACUGAGGCUACUAGUUUUAAGAAGAAACUGACGGGAGUUCAGCUGACUCCCUUGAUGGAGAAACUGAGUCAUUUAGCGUUCUCGGACAAGUCGAGUGGAUACAGCAGUAGAGUGAUGACGCCGCUUGAACUGAGGGAGUUUCCGACGCCAGCCGCUGAACGACAAGUCACAUUCUCUGACAGACCAAAAACCCAGCGGCAAGACUCAGAAUCGGACAGCGAUUCAGAGGACGACAUAGAUCAGCUCGCGUCAUACAGCCAGAAUGCUGUGAAGUGCUCGCUGUUUGUGAGCGGGCUACACAAUAUGGCGCUGCUAGCGGUGCUUGACGCGCCCGCGGCGGAUGACCCAGAGACGAUCAACACGCUGUGGGAAACUUCUCUGAACGCGCUCGGGCCGAUCGAGCAGAAGUGCAUAGAGCCAUUAGGCGCUGGUCCCGAAGCGGCCGACUACAGCUACCUGACGUUAGACCCGGACUGGGGCACGGUCAAAAAGGGCGGGCCUUGGGCAGCGCUCGAUAUCGCUACCAUGGGACUGAUACACAACGAGUUCGCUGAAGACAGGGAACUGACGGAAUUUAUUUUGAGGAGCGACGAGAGCGUCGUAGUAGGCGUGUCGUGCGGCGGCGCACAAGUGUACUACCAAGAAGCAGGCGCGCGCGCCGCCGGGCCUCCCGCGCCGUCUGACGCGCUCGCCGCCGCUCCGUUGCGCGCGCGCCGCCGUUUGCACCGCGACCACGCGACGCUGCUGCUCUAAGUUGAUACUUGACCACUCAUUAUAAGGUCUAGUUUCCUCUGCAGGAGUACGACUAUCUAAUUUACCAGACACCUGUAUCGUGACCACGCCACGAUGCUGCUCUAAGAUAACAUUCUUCACCACUAUCAGAGCUGGAGAACAAGCGUCUAAUUUGCCCGAGACAUCUGCAUCAUGACAUCGCUACUCUGCUGCUCUAAGUUCAGACUUGACCACUUAUUAUUAGGUCCAGGAGUACGACCCUCGUAAUUUACAAAAGUUACCACGCUAUAAGAUAACAACUCAACUCUUCGUUGUUCAGAGGAGCAAGAUCCUGUCCAAUUUACCAGAGACGCCUGCAUCACACCACGCUACUCUGCUGCUCUAAGUUGAUACUUAGCCGGUCAUCAUUAGGUCCAAUUUCCUCUGUAGGAGCACGUGACUAAUUUACCAGACGACUGCUGCAUCGCGACCAUGCCACGCUGCUUGCUCUAACAACUCAACUUUUCGUCGUCAUAAGGUCAUUCAGAGGAGCAAGAAUCUAAAUACCUGGACACUCAUCAUUAGGUCCAGUUUCCGCUGCAGGAGAAGCACCAUGAUCAGGUCCAUUAGUUCCUGCUGCAGGAGUACGACCCUCUAAUUUAGAGGUGACUUCAGUCACCACUGCAAAGAAGACCCCCUCUAAUUUACCUGAGGCGCCUUGCUUCGUGACCACGCCACAAGC
Molecule: RNA transcript, 3449 nt
Organism: Ostrinia furnacalis (Asian corn borer)
Lineage: Eukaryota; Metazoa; Arthropoda; Insecta; Lepidoptera; Crambidae
Gene: HPS4
Gene name: Hermansky-Pudlak syndrome 4 protein
Exons: 11
Source: RefSeq, a predicted model, not a curated record